AGGUUAAGUUAACAAGGGCGCAUGGUGAAUGCCUUGGCACUAGGAGCCGAUGAAGGACGGGACUAACACCGAUAUGCUUCGGGGAGCUGUACGUAAGCUAUGAUCCGGAGAUUUCCGAAUGGGGCAACCCAGCAGUUUUAAUCAACUGUUACCACUAGAUGAAUUCAUAGUCUAGUUGGAGGUAAACGCUGUGAACUGAAACAUCUCAUUAGCAGCAGGAAUAUAAAGAAAUUUCGAUUCCCUAAGUAGCGGCGAGCGAACGGGGAACAGCCCAAACCAAAGUGCUUGCACUUUGGGGUUGUAGGACUGAACAUUUGAGUUACCAAAGAACUUGAUAGUCGAAGGAUUUGGGAAAAUCCGCCAUAGAUGGUGAUAGCCCAGUAGAUUAAAUCAAAUUCUCUCAGUUCAGGAUCCUGAGUACGGCGGAACACGUGAAAUUCCGUCGGAAUCCGGGAGGCCAUCUCCCAAGGCUAAAUACUACCUAGUGACCGAUAGUGAACCAGUACCGUGAGGGAAAGGUGAAAAGCACCCCGGGAGGGGAGUGAAAUAGUUCCUGAAACCAUGUGCCUACAAUAAGUCAGAGCGCGUUAAUGCGUGAUGGCGUGCCUUUUGUAGAAUGAACCGGCGAGUUAUGAUCCCGUGCAAGGUUAAGACUAAAAAGUCGGAGCCGUAGCGAAAGCGAGUCUGAAAUGGGCGUUUUGAGUACGAGGUUAUAGACCCGAAACCAGGUGACCUAUCCAUGUCCAGGUUGAAGGUGCGGUAAAACGCACUGGAGGACCGAACCCGUGUAAGUUGAAAAUUGCUGGGAUGAGGUGUGGAUAGCGGUGAAAUUCCAAACGAACUUGGAGAUAGCUGGUUCUCUCCGAAAUAGCUUUAGGGCUAGCCUCGGAAUUAGGAUCAUGGAGGUAGAGCACUAUUUGGACUAGGGGCCCGUCUUGGGUUACUGAAUUCAGAUAAACUCCGAAUGCCAUUGAUUCAUAUCCGGGAGUCAGACGAUGAGUGAUAAGAUCCACCGUCGAAAGGGGAACAGCCCAGACCAUCAGUUAAGGUCCCUAAAUGUAUGCUAAGUGGAAAAGGAUGUGGAGUUGCAUAGACAACUAGGAUGUUGGCUCAGAAGCAGCCACCAUUUAAAGAGUGCGUAAUAGCUCACUAGUCGAGUGAUCCUGCGCCGAAAAUGUACCGGGGCUAAGCAUACUACCGAAACCAUGGAUGCGACCAUUAGGUCGCGUGAUAGGAGAGCGUUCUAAGGGCGGUGAAGCAAGAUCGUGAGGACUUGUGGAGCGCUUAGAAGUGAGAAUGCCGGUAUGAGUAGCGAAAGAUAGGUGAGAAUCCUAUCCACCGAAUGACUAAGGUUUCCUGGGGAAGGCUCGUCCUCCCAGGGUUAGUCGGGACCUAAGUCGAGGCCGAGAGGCGUAGACGAUGGAUAACAGGUUGAGAUUCCUGUACUAGUUAAGUGCGUUUGAGCAAUGGAGGGACGCAGGAGGCUAAGAUGUGCAUUCUGUUGGAUUAGAAUGUCCAAGCAGUAAGUCUUGUGAAGAGUCAAAUGCUUUUCACUUUAAGGACAAGCUGUGAUGGGGAGCGAAAUUUAGUAGCGAAGCGUCUGAUGUCACACUGCCGAGAAAAGCUUCUAGUGAGUACUUAACUACCCGUACCGCAAACCGACACAGGUAGUCGAGGAGAGAAUCCUAAGGUGAGCGAGUGAACUCUCGUUAAGGAACUCGGCAAAAUGACCCCGUAACUUCGGGAGAAGGGGUGCUGAUCGCAAGAUCAGCCGCAGUGAAUAGGCCCAGGCGACUGUUUAUCAAAAACACAGGUCUCUGCAAAAUCGUAAGAUGACGUAUAGGGGCUGACGCCUGCCCGGUGCUGGAAGGUUAAAAGGAUGGGUUAGCUUCGGCGAAGCUCAGAAUUGAAGCCCCAGUAAACGGCGGCCGUAACUAUAACGGUCCUAAGGUAGCGAAAUUCCUUGUCGGGUAAGUUCCGACCCGCACGAAAGGCGUAACGAUCUGGGCACUGUCUCAACGAGAGACUCGGUGAAAUUAUAUUGUCCGUGAAGAUGCGGACUACCCGCGACAGGACGGAAAGACCCCAUGGAGCUUUACUGUAGCUUGAUAUUGAGUGUUUGUACAGCUUGUACAGGAUAGGUAGGAGCCAUAGAAACCGGAACGCUAGUUUCGGUGGAGGCGUUGGUGGGAUACUACCCUCGCUGUAUGACCACUCUAACCCGCACCACUAAUCGUGGUGGGAGACAGUGUCAGGUGGGCAGUUUGACUGGGGCGGUCGCCUCCUAAAAAGUAACGGAGGCGCCCAAAGGUUCCCUCAGAAUGGUUGGAAAUCAUUCGCAGAGUGUAAAGGCACAAGGGAGCUUGACUGCGAGACAGACAGGUCGAGCAGGGACGAAAGUCGGGCUUAGUGAUCCGGUGGUACCGUAUGGAAGGGCCAUCGCUCAACGGAUAAAAGCUACCCUGGGGAUAACAGGCUUAUCUCCCCCAAGAGUCCACAUCGACGGGGAGGUUUGGCACCUCGAUGUCGGCUCAUCGCAUCCUGGGGCUGUAGUCGGUCCCAAGGGUUGGGCUGUUCGCCCAUUAAAGCGGUACGCGAGCUGGGUUCAGAACGUCGUGAGACAGUUCGGUCCCUAUCCGUCGCGGGCGUAGGAAAUUUGAGAGGACCUGUCCUUAGUACGAGAGGACCGGGAUGGACAUACCUCUGGUGUACCAGUUGUGCCGCCAGGCGCAUCGCUGGGUAGCUACGUAUGGAUGUGAUAAACGCUGAAAGCAUCUAAGUGUGAAACACACCUCGAGAUGAGAUUUCCCAUUCCUUUAUGGAAGUAAGACCCCUGAAAGAUGAUCAGGUAGAUAGGUUAGAAGUGGCAGUGCGGUGACGCAUGAAGCGGACUAAUACUAAUCGGUCGAGGACUUAACCAAGUAGGUAGGAGCCAUAGAAACCGGAACGCUAGUUUCGGUGGAGGCGUUGGUGGGAUACUACCCUCGCUGUAUGACCACUCUAACCCGCACCACUAAUCGUGGUGGGAGACAGUGUCAGGUGGGCAGUUUGACUGGGGCGGUCGCCUCCUAAAAAGUAACGGAGGCGCCCAAAGGUUCCCUCAGAAUGGUUGGAAAUCAUUCGCAGAGUGUAAAGGCACAAGGGAGCUUGACUGCGAGACAGACAGGUCGAGCAGGGACGAAAGUCGGGCUUAGUGAUCCGGUGGUACCGUAUGGAAGGGCCAUCGCUCAACGGAUAAAAGCUACCCUGGGGAUAACAGGCUUAUCUCCCCCAAGAGUCCACAUCGACGGGGAGGUUUGGCACCUCGAUGUCGGCUCAUCGCAUCCUGGGGCUGUAGUCGGUCCCAAGGGUUGGGCUGUUCGCCCAUUAAAGCGGUACGCGAGCUGGGUUCAGAACGUCGUGAGACAGUUCGGUCCCUAUCCGUCGCGGGCGUAGGAAAUUUGAGAGGACCUGUCCUUAGUACGAGAGGACCGGGAUGGACAUACCUCUGGUGUACCAGUUGUGCCGCCAGGCGCAUCGCUGGGUAGCUACGUAUGGAUGUGAUAAACGCUGAAAGCAUCUAAGUGUGAAACACACCUCGAGAUGAGAUUUCCCAUUCCUUUAUGGAAGUAAGACCCCUGAAAGAUGAUCAGGUAGAUAGGUUAGAAGUGGCAGUGCGGUGACGCAUGAAGCGGACUAAUACUAAUCGGUCGAGGACUUAACCAAG
RNAcentral lists this ribosomal RNA (3706 nucleotides) under Lactiplantibacillus plantarum. Its description in RNAcentral is "bacterial LSU rRNA". The stretch from base 2 to 2921 matches the Rfam family "Bacterial large subunit ribosomal RNA". Lineage: Bacteria; Bacillati; Bacillota; Bacilli; Lactobacillales; Lactobacillaceae. The record is from RNAcentral.